AUUGAACGCUGGCGGCAUGCUUUACACAUGCAAGUCGAACGGCAGCGCGGGCUUCGGCCUGGCGGCGAGUGGCGAACGGGUGAGUAAUGCAUCGGAACGUGCCCAGUAGUGGGGGAUAGCCCUGCGAAAGCCGGAUUAAUACCGCAUACGACCUGAGGGUGAAAGCGGGGGACCGAAAGGCCUCGCGCUAUUGGAGCGGCCGAUGUCGGAUUAGCUAGUUGGUGGGGUAAAGGCUUACCAAGGCGACGAUCCGUAGCUGGUCUGAGAGGACGACCAGCCACACUGGGACUGAGACACGGCCCAGACUCCUACGGGAGGCAGCAGUGGGGAAUUUUGGACAAUGGGGGCAACCCUGAUCCAGCCAUGCCGCGUGCGGGAAGAAGGCCUUCGGGUUGUAAACCGCUUUUGUUCGGGAAGAAAUCCUCUGGGCUAAUACCCCGGGGGGAUGACGGUACCGGAAGAAUAAGCACCGGCUAACUACGUG
RNAcentral lists this ribosomal RNA (484 nucleotides) under uncultured bacterium. RNAcentral's name for it is "partial 16S ribosomal RNA". It matches the Rfam family "Bacterial small subunit ribosomal RNA", at positions 28 to 507 of the family's 1533-position model. The record is from RNAcentral.